Molecule: transfer RNA, 85 nt
Filed under: bacterium
Lineage: Bacteria
Description: tRNA-Tyr
Rfam family: tRNA
About the family: Transfer RNA (tRNA) molecules are approximately 80 nucleotides in length. Their secondary structure includes four short double-helical elements and three loops (D, anti-codon, and T loops).
Source: RNAcentral
GGCGAGAUUCCCGAGUGGCCAAAGGGGACGGACUGUAAAUCCGUUGGCUCAGCCUUCGCAGGUUCGAAUCCUGCUCUCGCCACCA